RNAcentral lists this long non-coding RNA (228 nucleotides) under Prunus persica (peach). RNAcentral's name for it is "long non-coding RNA (PPER_LNC001070)". Lineage: Eukaryota; Viridiplantae; Streptophyta; Magnoliopsida; Rosales; Rosaceae. The record is from RNAcentral.
GUUAGUGUAUUGCAUAGUUUUAGCCAUUGCAUUUUGCUCAAAACUCACCAAAUGACUUCUCCCACAACAUUAUGAUGCUCCCUAAGUUUUGAACACAAUCCGAUAUCGAUUGGUCCAUGCAAUUGGGCAAUUCAGGUUCUUACAAAGUUCGUUCUGAAAUGGAAUGGUUGGUGUAUUGCAUAGUUUUAGCCAUUGGAUUUCACUUAAAAUUCACCAAAUGACUCCUCC